GACGAACGCUGGCGGCGUGCUUAACACAUGCAAGUCGAACGGAAAGGCCCUGCUUGCAGGGUACUCGAGUGGCGAACGGGUGAGUAACACGUGGGUGAUCUGCCCUGCACUUCGGGAUAAGCCUGGGAAACUGGGUCUAAUACCGGAUAGGAGCCAUUUUUAGUGUGAUGGUUGGAAAGUUUUUUCGGUGUAGGAUGAGCUCGCGGCCUAUCAGCUUGUUGGUGGGGUAAUGGCCUACCAAGGCGGCGACGGGUAGCCGGCCUGAGAGGGUGGACGGCCACAUUGGGACUGAGAUACGGCCCAGACUCCUACGGGAGGCAGCAGUGGGGAAUAUUGCACAAUGGGCGCAAGCCUGAUGUAGCGACGCCGCGUGGGGGAUGACGGCCUUCGGGUUGUAAACUCCUUUCGCUAGGGACGAAGCUUUUUGUGACGGUACCUAGAUAAGAAGCACCGGCUAACUACGUG
This 465-nucleotide ribosomal RNA is filed under the name uncultured bacterium. RNAcentral's name for it is "partial 16S ribosomal RNA". It matches the Rfam family "Bacterial small subunit ribosomal RNA", at positions 28 to 507 of the family's 1533-position model. The record is from RNAcentral.